Molecule: ribosomal RNA, 764 nt
Filed under: Cronobacter sakazakii
Lineage: Bacteria; Pseudomonadati; Pseudomonadota; Gammaproteobacteria; Enterobacterales; Enterobacteriaceae
Description: bacterial SSU rRNA
Rfam family: Bacterial small subunit ribosomal RNA
Source: RNAcentral
GGGGGGGGGAGGCUAACACAUGCAAGUCGAACGGUAACAGGGAGCAGCUUGCUGCUCUGCUGACGAGUGGCGGACGGGUGAGUAAUGUCUGGGAAACUGCCUGAUGGAGGGGGAUAACUACUGGAAACGGUAGCUAAUACCGCAUAACGUCUACGGACCAAAGUGGGGGACCUUCGGGCCUCAUGCCAUCAGAUGUGCCCAGAUGGGAUUAGCUAGUAGGUGGGGUAACGGCUCACCUAGGCGACGAUCCCUAGCUGGUCUGAGAGGAUGACCAGCCACACUGGAACUGAGACACGGUCCAGACUCCUACGGGAGGCAGCAGUGGGGAAUAUUGCACAAUGGGCGCAAGCCUGAUGCAGCCAUGCCGCGUGUAUGAAGAAGGCCUUCGGGUUGUAAAGUACUUUCAGCGGGGAGGAAGGUGUUGUGGUUAAUAACCACAGCAAUUGACGUUACCCGCAGAAGAAGCACCGGCUAACUCCGUGCCAGCAGCCGCGGUAAUACGGAGGGUGCAAGCGUUAAUCGGAAUUACUGGGCGUAAAGCGCACGCAGGCGGUCUGUUAAGUCAGAUGUGAAAUCCCCGGGCUCAACCUGGGAACUGCAUUUGAAACUGGCAGGCUUGAGUCUCGUAGAGGGGGGUAGAAUUCCAGGUGUAGCGGUGAAAUGCGUAGAGAUCUGGAGGAAUACCGGUGGCGAAGGCGGCCCCCUGGACGAAGACUGACGCUCAGGUGCGAAAGCGUGGGGAGCAAACAGGAUUAGAUACCUUG